GCGAACUGUCCGACUGUCACUCCGCCUAGUACCUAGUUUCUCAGUGCUUCACGAAAAUGGCGUUCUUUAAUCCAAUGUGAUGCAAAUUUUGUUUGAAGAUCACGCAACAUUUGAUCCCCUAUGCCACUGCUUACGGAUA
This is a long non-coding RNA of Camponotus floridanus (Florida carpenter ant), 139 nucleotides long. RefSeq lists it as uncharacterized. Lineage: Eukaryota; Metazoa; Arthropoda; Insecta; Hymenoptera; Formicidae. The record is from RefSeq and is a predicted model, not a curated record. The transcript has 2 exons.